Long non-coding RNA from Zingiber officinale, 537 nucleotides. RefSeq lists it as uncharacterized. The transcript is spliced from 3 exons. The record is from RefSeq and is a predicted model, not a curated record. Lineage: Eukaryota; Viridiplantae; Streptophyta; Magnoliopsida; Zingiberales; Zingiberaceae.
CUUGCUUCUCCGUCCAACUACACCGCAUCUCCUCCAACUCCUCCCUUUGCUUUCUUCUUCUGCGAGAGUUUCUCUUCUUUCCUUUCCUCUUCUUCAUCGUCUUCUACUUCCGUUGAUCCUGCUGUGGCGGCACCUGAUGGCGGUCGAUCGAGCUCGUCUACCCGCACAUGUGUGGUAGGUUGGCAUGGCUUUCGCGAAUCAGUACUACCAGAUCCUUGCUAGUUCCCCUCAGCUUCUCUUCCGCUUCUACAAAGAGGGAAGCACGCUCAGCCGGCUGGAUCAUCGGGGUGAAAUGAUUUCCGUCACCGACAUGGAUAAAGGCAAUCAAGGAGAAGCUUCUUUCCGUUGACUAUAGUGAGUACAAGGCGGAGAUUAAGACAGUGGACGGGUAGAAAUCGAUGAAUGGCUGUUCUUGUGGCGGGGUAUCUCACCGGGAAAGAUGACGCCAAGAAAAAAUUUGCUCAAUUUUUUAUGCUGGCCCCUUAAGAUAAGGGAUACUAUGUUUUGAAUGAUAUAUUUCGUCUUCUUGCUCCUGCA